AAUAGAUACCCUGGUAGUCCACGCCGUAAACGAUGAGAACUAGCUGUCAGGGCCUUUCAGGCUUUGGUGGCGCAGCUAACGCAUUAAGUUCUCCGCCUGGGGAGUACGGUCGCAAGAUUAAAACUCAAAGGAAUUGACGGGGGCCUGCACAAGCGGUGGAGCAUGUGGUUUAAUUCGAAGCAACGCGCAGAACCUUACCAGCGUUUGACAUCCUGAUCGCGGUUACCAGAGAUGGUUUCCUUCAGUUCGGCUGGAUCAGUGACAGGUGCUGCAUGGCUGUCGUCAGCUCGUGUCGUGAGAUGCUGGGUUAAGUCCCGCAACGAGCGCAACCCUCGUCCUUAGUUGCCAUCAUUCAGUUGGGCACUCUAAGGAAACCGCCGGUGAUAAGCCGGAGGAAGGUGGGGAUGACGUCAAGUCCUCAUGGCCCUUACGCGCUGGGCUACACACGUGCUACAAUGGCGGUGACAGUGGGCUGCAAUCCCGCAAGGGUGAGCUAAUCUCCAAAAGCCGUCUCU
This 515-nucleotide ribosomal RNA is filed under the name uncultured bacterium. RNAcentral describes it as "bacterial SSU rRNA". It matches the Rfam family "Bacterial small subunit ribosomal RNA", at positions 777 to 1290 of the family's 1533-position model. The record is from RNAcentral.